UAAAAAUCCUUAACCAAUUAGAGUUAGACAAAUACAUUUAAAAAGGAUAAAAGAAAUUGAAAGAGACCAAAAUUUGGUCAUCUUCUUCCAUUUAUCCAAAGUUAGCCGAACCACCUUCAUGGUUGUCCACCAUAGCUAUUCUUUGCAAGCUUUUAUUCACAUGCUUCCUCACCAUAUUAGCUCAAGAUCCCAACACUAAAAUGAAUCCUUGG
RNAcentral lists this unclassified non-coding RNA (212 nucleotides) under Hevea brasiliensis (rubber tree). Lineage: Eukaryota; Viridiplantae; Streptophyta; Magnoliopsida; Malpighiales; Euphorbiaceae. The record is from RNAcentral.